GACAGAGGAGCCAAGCGUUGUCCGGAGUAACUGGGCGUAAAGCGCACGCAGGUGGUUUGGCACGUGGGGUGUGAAAGCUCUCGGCUCAACUGAGAGAGGCCACCUCAUACGGCCAAGCUCGAGCCCUGCAGAGGUCCACGGAAUUGCCGGUGUAGUGGUGAAAUGCGUAGAGAUCGGCAGGAACACCCAGGGGGAAACCAGUGGACUGGGCAGGCGCUGACACUCAUGUGCGAAAGCGUGGGGAGCGAACCGG
RNAcentral lists this ribosomal RNA (253 nucleotides) under uncultured bacterium. RNAcentral's name for it is "partial 16S ribosomal RNA". It matches the Rfam family "Bacterial small subunit ribosomal RNA", at positions 524 to 776 of the family's 1533-position model. The record is from RNAcentral.